Molecule: non-coding RNA, 100 nt
Organism: Acanthosepion pharaonis
Lineage: Eukaryota; Metazoa; Mollusca; Cephalopoda; Sepiida; Sepiidae
Source: the annotation of a GenBank genome assembly
CGUUGAAACACUGGUUCUCGUAUGAUCAUCGAAGUUAAGCAACAUCGAGUCAGGUCAGUACCGAAAUGGGUGACCGCUUGGAAAUACCAGAUGCUGUAAG